Non-coding RNA from Cavia porcellus (domestic guinea pig), 64 nucleotides. The record is from Rfam. NCBI's taxonomy places the organism in Eukaryota, Metazoa, Chordata, Mammalia, Rodentia, Caviidae.
GGGGAUUUAGCUCAGUGGCAUAUGCGCCUGCCUUGCAAGCAGGCAGUUGUGAGUUCAAUCCCUA